RNAcentral lists this ribosomal RNA (497 nucleotides) under uncultured bacterium. RNAcentral describes it as "partial 16S ribosomal RNA". It matches the Rfam family "Bacterial small subunit ribosomal RNA", at positions 28 to 507 of the family's 1533-position model. The record is from RNAcentral.
GACGAACGCUGGCGGCGUGCCUAAUACAUGCAAGUUGAGCGCUGAAGGUUGGUACUUGUACCGACUGGAUGAGCAGCGAACGGGUGAGUAACGCGUGGGGAAUCUGCCUUUGAGCGGGGGACAACAUUUGGAAACGAAUGCUAAUACCGCAUAAAAACUUUAAACACAAGUUUUAAGUUUGAAAGAUGCAAUUGCAUCACUCAAAGAUGAUCCCGCGUUGUAUUAGCUAGUUGGUGAGGUAAAGGCUCACCAAGGCGAUGAUACAUAGCCGACCUGAGAGGGUGAUCGGCCACAUUGGGACUGAGACACGGCCCAAACGCCUACGGGAGGCAGCAGUAGGGAAUCUUCGGCAAUGGACGAAAGUCUGACCGAGCAACGCCGCGUGAGGGAAGAAGGUUGUCGGAUCGUAAAACUCGGUUGGUAGAGAAGAACGUUGGUGAGAGUGGAAAGCUCAUCAAGUGACGGUAACUACCCAGAAAGGGACGGCUAACUACGUG